UCCGGGCGUCGGCCUGUGGG
This 20-nucleotide small RNA is filed under the name Arabidopsis thaliana (thale cress). RNAcentral's name for it is "Ath_wt_12989". Lineage: Eukaryota; Viridiplantae; Streptophyta; Magnoliopsida; Brassicales; Brassicaceae. The record is from RNAcentral.